Molecule: long non-coding RNA, 250 nt
Filed under: Elaeis guineensis (African oil palm)
Lineage: Eukaryota; Viridiplantae; Streptophyta; Magnoliopsida; Arecales; Arecaceae
Description: long non-coding RNA (EGUI_LNC078885)
Source: RNAcentral
UAGGGUCGUUCGUGGCCGGAAGAAGUCCGGGAGAGACUCGGGGAAUGGUUGGCUGCUAUAGGAGGUCGACUGUCAGUGAGGCCCAGAGGGCCUUUGGGAUGGCCCGAUGGGUGAACGCAGAAGUCCAUUGUCAGAGAAGUCCGGACGGUCGAGGGAGUUCGGAGAGGCGCCACACAUAAGGUCGGGAGCCAGAAGAGCCCUGGAGGAAUCGGCCUUUUAUAAACUUCGAUCGGGGGGUACUUUAUACCCA